AACGAACGCUGGCGGCGUGCCUAACACAUGCAAGUCGUGCGAGAAAGUUCCUUCGGGAGCGAGUAAAGCGGCGCACGGGUGGGUAACACGUAGGUAACCUGCCCCCCAGUCUGGAACAACUAGAGGAAACUCUAGCUAAUGCCGGAUGAGACCACGAUCCCUUCGGGGGUUGCGGCCAAAGAUGGCCUCUACUUGUAAGCUAUCGCUGAGGGAUGGGCCUGCGGGCCAUUAGCUUGUUGGUGAGGUAACGGCUCACCAAGGCUGUGAUGGCUAGCUGGUCUGAGAGGAUGACCAGCCACACUGGGACUGAGACACGGCCCAGACUCCUACGGGAGGCAGCAGUGGGGAAUAUUGCGCAAUGGGCGAAAGCCUGACGCAGCGACGCCGCGUGGGUGAUGAAGGCC
This 404-nucleotide ribosomal RNA is filed under the name uncultured bacterium. RNAcentral's name for it is "bacterial SSU rRNA". It matches the Rfam family "Bacterial small subunit ribosomal RNA", at positions 29 to 416 of the family's 1533-position model. The record is from RNAcentral.